This 501-nucleotide ribosomal RNA is filed under the name uncultured bacterium. Its description in RNAcentral is "bacterial SSU rRNA". It matches the Rfam family "Bacterial small subunit ribosomal RNA", at positions 28 to 536 of the family's 1533-position model. The record is from RNAcentral.
GAUGAACGCUGGCGGCGUGCCUCAAACAUGCAAGUCGAGCGGGGCUAUGUAAUAUCGCAAGGUAGAACAUAGCCUAGCGGCGAACGGGUGAGUAACACGUGGGUAACCUGCCUGGAAGACAGGGAUAACGAUUCGAAAGGGUCGCUAAUACCUGAUAAUAUCCUUUCAUCGCAUGGUGAUAGGAAGAAAGGGGAAACCCGCUUUCAGAUGGGCCCGCGUCCCAUCAGCUAGUUGGUAAGGUAAAGGCUUACCAAGGCGACGACGGGUAGCCGGUCUGAGAGGAUGUACGGCCACACUGGGACUGAGAUACGGCCCAGACUCCUACGGGAGGCAGCAGUUGGGAAUCUUAGGCAAUGGACGAAAGUCUGACCUAGCGACGCCGCGUGAGGGAAGAAGGCCUUCGGGUUGUAAACCUCUGUCAUGGGGGAAGAAGUAAGUGACGGUACCCAAGAGGAAGCCCCUGCUAACUACGUGCCAGCAGCCGCGGUAAGGAGUAGUACA